UGUCAUAUUAAUUCUAAGUAGGGUGCAGUAAGAUAAUAAUAGAUAUUGCAAUCCAUAAGCAAAUAGAAACAUAUAGAAAAAAAGUUUAGCUAAAAUGUAACUAGAGAAACUAAAAUGGUACGUAAAUAAGAAAAAGGCAACACAAUGCAAAUGAAAGCUACAUAAAAUAAAUAGCAAGAUGGUAAACUCGAACAUAUUAAUACACAUAUUAAAUAUAAAUGGAUUAAACACACCUAUUAAAAUGAGAAGAUUGAUAGACUGGAGGAAAAAUAUCAAUAGUCAACUGUAUGCUUUCUACACUACAUAUACUUCAAGCAUAAAAACAUAGAUAUGAAAAGCAAAAAGAUGAAAAAGGCAUACCAUGUAAACAGUAAGCAUUAAGUCAGCUGCUAUGGCUGUAUCAAUAUCAGACAAACAGGACUUUGAAAUGAGGACAAUUACCAAGGAUAGAAAAAACUCCAUAAUGUCAAAUGGGUGAGUUUCUCAGGAAGCCAUAAAACUUCUAAACAUGUAUAGACCUAAUAACAAAACUUCAAAAGUAAAUACAGAAAAAAGAUUUUUGAAUUUCUUCUUUUUUUUUUUUUGAAACAGGGUCUCACUCUGUCACCCAAGCUGGAGUGCUGUGGCAUGAUCUCAGCUCACUGCAGCAACCGCCUCCCAGGCUCAAGCAAUCCUCCCAACUCACCCUCCUGAGUUGCUGGGACCACAGGCGCAUACCACUGUGCCUGGCCAACUUUUGAUAUUUUGAUGAAGAUUCGGACACAAUUCAAUGGGGGAAGCAUAUUCUUUUCAAAAAGGAGUGCAGGAACAAUUGGACAUCCACAGGGUCUCCCUCUGUCACCUAGGCUGGAGUGCAGGGAUGCGAACAUGGCUCACUGUAGCUUCAACCUCCUGGGCUCAAGUGAUCCUCCUGCCUCAGCCUCCUGAGAAGGUAGGACCACAGGCACAUGCCACCACACCUGGCUAAUUUAAAAAUUUUUUUGUAGAGCUGAGGUCUCACUGUCUUGUCCAGGAUGGUCUUGAACCUCUGGACUUCUGCCUUGGCCUCUCAAAGCUCUGAGAUUACAGGCAUGAGUCACCACACCUGGACUACAUCCCAUUCUUUCUUACAACCAGACUUUUUUGGUAUUUUCCUCUUACCCCUAAUUGUCCAAAUCUUUGCACAAAUCUUAUAAGGUAUAUUUAAGUCAAACAUUCUCUACAAAACCUUACCUCACAUUGAUAUUCACUGUUAACCUUCUCCCUUCAAAAUGUUUGUGUGGCAUUAAGGCCAUAGCCCUUAAAUGAACUAGAAACUUGCUUUCAGAAUAAUCUACUUAGUAACAAAUAAAAAUCCCAUUUGCAUUUUUACUAAGAAUGAACAUUAUCUUCAGGGAUACCAUGGCAAAAUUUCAUGUCUAAUGAAAGGAAACAGCUUCAGACAAGAAGGAAUUCCAUUUACACAGUAAUGUUUUGCAUUGCUCCUUUGAUGGUUUCAAGAAGAGGAGACAAAAUUAAACAAAGUUUAUAAA
Molecule: long non-coding RNA, 1511 nt
Filed under: Papio anubis (olive baboon)
Lineage: Eukaryota; Metazoa; Chordata; Mammalia; Primates; Cercopithecidae
Description: lncRNA (ENSPANG00000048357.1)
Source: RNAcentral